This 253-nucleotide ribosomal RNA is filed under the name uncultured bacterium. RNAcentral describes it as "partial 16S ribosomal RNA". It matches the Rfam family "Bacterial small subunit ribosomal RNA", at positions 524 to 776 of the family's 1533-position model. The record is from RNAcentral.
UACGGGGGGAGCAAGCGUUGUUCGGAUUUACUGGGCGUAAAGGGCGCGUAGGCGGCGUGACAAGUCACUUGUGAAAUCUCCGGGCUUAACCCGGAACGGUCAAGUGAUACUGUCGUGCUAGAGUACAGAAGGGGCAACUGGAAUUCUCGGUGUAGCGGUGAAAUGCGUAGAUAUCGAGAGGAACACCUGCGGCGAAGGCGGGUUGCUGGGCUGAUACUGACGCUGAGGCGCGAAAGCCAGGGGAGCGGACGGG